This 468-nucleotide ribosomal RNA is filed under the name uncultured bacterium. RNAcentral describes it as "partial 16S ribosomal RNA". It matches the Rfam family "Bacterial small subunit ribosomal RNA", at positions 28 to 507 of the family's 1533-position model. The record is from RNAcentral.
GACGAACGCUGGCGGCGUGCUUAACACAUGCAAGUCGAACGGAAAGGCCCUGCUUUUGUGGGGUGCUCGAGUGGCGAACGGGUGAGUAACACGUGAGUAACCUGCCCUUGACUUUGGGAUAACUUCAGGAAACUGGGGCUAAUACCGGCUAGGAGCUCCUGCUGCAUGGUGGGGGUUGGAAAGUUUCGGCGGUUGGGGAUGGACUCGCGGCUUAUCAGCGUGUUGGUGGGGUAGUGGCUUACCAAGGCUUUGACGGGUAGCCGGCCUGAGUGGGUGACCAGCCACAUUGGGACUGAGAUACGGCCCAGACUCCUACGGGAGGCAGCAGUGGGGAAUAUUGCACAAUGGGCGGAAGCCUGAUGCAGCAACGCCGCGUGCGGGAUGACGGCCUUCGGUUUGUAAACCGCUUUCGCCUGUGACGAAGCGUGAGUGACGGUAAUGGGUAAAGAAGCACCGGCUAACUACGUG